Molecule: ribosomal RNA, 468 nt
Filed under: uncultured bacterium
Lineage: Bacteria
Description: partial 16S ribosomal RNA
Rfam family: Bacterial small subunit ribosomal RNA
Source: RNAcentral
GACGAACGCUGGCGGCGUGCUUAACACAUGCAAGUCGAACGGAAAGGCCCUGCUUUUGUGGGGUGCUCGAGUGGCGAACGGGUGAGUAACACGUGAGUAACCUGCCCUUGACUUUGGGAUAACUUCAGGAAACUGGGGCUAAUACCGGAUAGGAGCUCCUGCUGCAUGGUGGGGGUUGGAAAGUUUCGGCGGUUGGGGAUGGACUCGCGGCUUAUCAGCUUGUUGGUGGGGUAGUGGCUUACCAAGGCUUUGACGGGUAGCCGGCCUGAGAGGGUGACCGGCCACAUUGGGACUGAGAUACGGCCCAGACUCCUACGGGAGGCAGCAGUGGGGAAUAGUGCACAAUGGGCGGGAGCCUGAUGCAGCAACGCCGCGUGCGGGAUGACGGCCUUCGGGGUGUAAACCGCUUUCGCCUGUGACGAAGCGUGAGUGACGGUAAUGGGUAAAGAAGCACCGGCUAACUACGUG